UGCACAUACCAAUAGUGAGAGUGUUUUGAACCAAAGAUGAUGAUUAAUUCUAUUUUGUGCAUCUGAGUUCCAGU
RNAcentral lists this small nucleolar RNA (74 nucleotides) under Otolemur garnettii (small-eared galago). RNAcentral describes it as "Small nucleolar RNA SNORD112 (ENSOGAG00000022552.1)". The record is from RNAcentral. Lineage: Eukaryota; Metazoa; Chordata; Mammalia; Primates; Galagidae.